UACGUAGGGCGCAAGCGUUGUCCGGAAUUAUUGGGCGUAAAGAGCUCGUAGGCGGCCUGUUACGUCUGCUGUGAAAUCCCGGGGCUUAACCCCGGGCGUGCAGUGGAUACGGGCAGGCUGGAGGCAGGCAGGGGAGAACGGAAUUCCCGGUGUAGCGGUGAAAUGCGCAGAUAUCGGGAGGAACACCGGUGGCGAAGGCGGUUCUCUGGGCUCUACCUGACGCUGAGGCGCGAAAGCGUGGGGAGCGAACCGG
This 253-nucleotide ribosomal RNA is filed under the name uncultured bacterium. Its description in RNAcentral is "partial 16S ribosomal RNA". It matches the Rfam family "Bacterial small subunit ribosomal RNA", at positions 524 to 776 of the family's 1533-position model. The record is from RNAcentral.